Molecule: RNA transcript, 2516 nt
Organism: Morone saxatilis (striped sea-bass)
Lineage: Eukaryota; Metazoa; Chordata; Actinopteri; Moronidae
Gene: cry1b
Gene name: cryptochrome circadian regulator 1b
Source: RefSeq, a predicted model, not a curated record
GUUUUUGUUGCAUUGUUUAGAGGACUUGGACAACAGCCUGCGCAAACUCAACUCACGCUUGUUUGUCAUCAGAGGCCAGCCUACAGAUGUCUUCCCUCGUCUUUUUAAGGAAUGGCAGAUCAACCGUUUAUCUUAUGAAUACGACUCUGAGCCAUUUGGCAAGGAACGGGAUGCUGCCAUCCAAAAACUGGCCUGCGAGGCCGGGGUGGAGGUCAUGGUGCAGGUUUCACACACCCUCUACAAUCUGGUCAAGAUCAUAGAGCUCAAUGAUGGUCACCCUCCUCUUACAUACAAGCGCUUCCAGGCCCUCAUCAACCGUAUGGAUGCUGUGGAGCUCCCUGCAGAGACGAUCACGCUUGAGGUUAUCAGAAAUUGUGCCACACCCAUCAGUGAAGACCAUGAUGACAAGUUUGGGGUUCCCUCUCUAGAAGAACUUGGCUUUGAAACAGAGGGUCUGACCACAGCAAUAUGGCCAGGUGGAGAAACAGAAGCCCUCAUGAGGCUAGAGCGGCAUCUGGAGAGGAAGGCAUGGGUGGCAAACUUUGAGCGUCCACGUAUGAACGCCAACUCCCUGCUGGCCAGUCCCACAGGUCUCAGCCCCUACCUGCGCUUUGGAUGUCUCUCCUGUCGGCUCUUCUACUUCAGACUCACUGACCUGUACAUGAAGGUCAAGAAAAACAACAGCCCACCGCUUUCCUUGUAUGGCCAGCUGUUGUGGAGGGAGUUCUUCUAUACGACUGCCACCAACAACUCCUGCUUUGACAAGAUGGAGGGAAACCCUGUGUGUGUCCAGAUCCCUUGGGACCGGAACCCAGAGGCACUGGCCAAGUGGGCAGAGGGACAAACAGGCUUUCCCUGGAUAGACGCCAUCAUGACCCAGCUGAGGCAGGAGGGGUGGAUCCAUCAUUUGGCGAGGCACGCUGUGGCCUGCUUCCUCACCAGGGGAGACCUCUGGAUCAGCUGGGAAGAAGGCAUGAAGGUGUUUGAAGAGCUGCUUAUAGAUGUGGACUGGAGCGUUAAUGCAGGCAGCUGGAUGUGGCUCUCUUGCAGCUCGUUUUUCCAGCAGUUUUUCCACUGCUACUGCCCCGUGGGAUUCGGACGACGCACGGAUCCCAAUGGAGACUACAUAAGACGUUAUUUGCCCAUAUUGAGGGGCUUUCCAGCCAAAUACAUCUAUGAUCCUUGGAAUGCCCCAGAGGAAGUGCAGAAGGCAGCUAAGUGUAUCAUAGGAGUUCACUACCCCAAGCCCAUGGUGAACCAUGCUGAAGCCAGCCGCGUCAACAUAGAGCGGAUGAAGCAAAUUUACCAGCAGCUUUCCAGCUACAGAGGACUGGGCCUGCUGGCAACAGUACCCGUCCAUAUCAACAAUGGAGGAAAUGGCAAGAGAGUUGACGCAGGGACCAGACAAGGCUCAGCAGGGUCCUGUGAAACCCCGUCCAUACAGGAAGGAAUGACUUCAGCAGGUUGCUGUUGGCCUUUGUGGACUGAAAACUGAAUAUUUGGCUUCUUUACAGACAACAACUGUUGUUCUGCCAAAACAAGCCAGAAUUAUAGAAAAGUAAUCAAAUGCCCUGAGCCAAGUUGCUACUCUGCAAACAACUGCACUGUUGAAUUUAUGAUUUAAAGAGGACAGUUCACACAGAAGCGGCGUCGUGAAGAGGUUCCACUCGAAAGCAGCUCUAAAUCCUGGAGGCACAGCAAAUAGUGUGCAAAGGGUCCCUCAGUCCAUCCUAUCAUCUGGAUAGCAUCCUCUCCUCAGGAUCUGAGGAUCUCAGGAACAGAGGAAGGAAUUGAGAGAAACUGCAGGGUUUAAACGGCAAAAACAAAUCAAUAAAGUCCUCACUUUGUGGUGUUGUGAGGCCACCUGUUGUCUUCCACUACAGUAUGUCACUGUACUAGUGAUACAACCACUAAGCAUUAGUACCCACACUCUUUUUCUCAGUGCCCCACAUCAGUCAGGUCAGGAUCACAUUGGUCAGCUGGAUGUGCUGGAUGUGCAUGCUUCGGCCUCUACACCUGGAUCUGGAAGUGUCAAAAUCUGAAUUCUGACUCACGUCUGAGUAAAAGGGAACUGAUAAAACAGUCAGGAGCCUGUGGAGGAUUUGUCGUGUGCAGCUGACACCCUCACCUACAGUAGUCUGUUUUCUCUAAAACAUGCCCCUAGAUAUUUCACACCAAGAAUAUCACACUGUCAUGAAUGUAAAUAAUGUUUAAAGCUUUUUGAAGAUUUAGAACACAAAAGGUCUGAUGUACAGUAUGAAGGAAUAUUAGAAGCAAAACAGGCCUUACAACAACAACAACAAAAUGUAUAUAUUGUUUUUGAUUUCCACCUUUUUGUAUAUUUGGUCAUGGGGGGUUUUUACAACUCCUUUUUUGUAAAGAAUGUCUUACCAAAACUUUAAAGUUCUUCUGUGAAUGCACGUGCUUUUGUCUCCCAUGUGACUGUAAAUUAUAUUAUUUUUGUACAAGGAAUGACCAAACUGUAUUAAAAAGGUAAUAAAAGACAGUCAUUGUUG